GAGUUUGAUCGUGGCUCAGGAUGAACGCUGGCGGCGUGCCUAAUACAUGCAAGUCGAACGAACAGAUAAGGAGCUUGCUCCUUUGACGUUAGCGGCGGACGGGUGAGUAACACGUGGGUAACCUACCUAUAAGACUGGAAUAACUCCGGGAAACCGGGGCUAAUGCCGGAUAACAUGUUGAACCGCAUGGUUCUACAGUGAAAGACGGUCUUGCUGUCACUUAUAGAUGGACCCGCGCCGUAUUAGCUAGUUGGUGGGGUAACGGCCUACCAAGGCGACGAUACGUAGCCGACCUGAGAGGGUGAUCGGCCACACUGGAACUGAGACACGGUCCAGACUCCUACGGGAGGCAGCAGUAGGGAAUCUUCCGCAAUGGGCGAAAGCCUGACGGAGCAACGCCGCGUGAGUGAUGAAGGUCUUCGGAUCGUAAAGCUCUGUUGUUAGGGAAGACAAAUGUGUAAGUAACUGUGCAUAUCUUGACGGUACCUAACCAGAAAGCCACGGCUAACUACGUGCCAGCAGCCGCGGUAACG
This 533-nucleotide ribosomal RNA is filed under the name uncultured microorganism. Its description in RNAcentral is "bacterial SSU rRNA". It matches the Rfam family "Bacterial small subunit ribosomal RNA", at positions 9 to 525 of the family's 1533-position model. The record is from RNAcentral.